AUCGCUUCUCGGCCUUUUGGCUAAGAUCAAGUGUAGUAAAUGCUGAAAGCUCAUUACACUUUCUCAGAAUCCAAACCUUU
Small nuclear RNA from Rattus norvegicus (Norway rat), 80 nucleotides. Ensembl annotates it as U2 spliceosomal RNA. NCBI's taxonomy places the organism in Eukaryota, Metazoa, Chordata, Mammalia, Rodentia, Muridae. The record is from Ensembl.